Xyrauchen texanus (razorback sucker) is the source of this 1814-nucleotide long non-coding RNA. RefSeq lists it as uncharacterized. The record is from RefSeq and is a predicted model, not a curated record. The transcript is spliced from 7 exons. Lineage: Eukaryota; Metazoa; Chordata; Actinopteri; Cypriniformes; Catostomidae.
UGCAGUUCAGCGUGGCAGGCAGCGUGAAACUGUGCACUGUGGUCACAAUUCAGCGAAAUCCAUAAACAUCUGCCAAUAUAGUGAACUUCAUAGUAGACCAGAUCUGUUCCAUUAUGGACAAGAAGUCCAACAUCCAUGGCAAGUCCACUUUGACCGAUUCUGUGCUAUCAUUGCCCUGGCUGGUGAAACCCAAUUUACAGACACAAGAAAGGACGAGCUCGAGCGCUACAUCCACUCUGUCACCUCCAUUGAUGGCAAGAAGUUCCCAGAAUCUUCGCUCAACCAAUACUGGACCCUACCUUCAAAGUGUUUGAUGCCAUCAUGAACUUCGAGAAGUAAGAAACAGCCAAACUGAUUGAGAACCUUGAAAUCAAGCUAGCUAUUGAAGACAAGAUGUUAAACCCCUGCUGAAAGCUGUAAUGCGCCAUUGGCUGCCAUCCAGAGAGCCUCUGCUUCAGAUGAUCGCCAUCCACCUGACCUAACCAGUUCCUGUUCCAAAGUACUGCUGUGACCUGCUGUAUGAAUGACCUGGAGAUGUUGAAGCUGCCAUGGGGAGUUUUGUGCGAGGAGAACGUGUGGUAUUCACUUUGACGUUCAUGACAUCCACCGAUGCCAUCCAUCUCGGUGGUGGCCAAAUCAUUCCCACAGAGUGCUUUACGCUUGACAGCUGAGCCCAGGCUUUUGGAGCCUGUUUACUUGGGAGAUUUAGUGCCCAGAGACAGUUGUUCGUGGCAUUUAUGGUGUUCUGAACAGGAUGUGUGAAUCCCAUGUUAUUGGAACGCUUCUGUUUGUUGUCAAAGCUAGCUUACUUGUCAUUGAGUCAUUUGGUUUCACAGCUGAUCUUCGCUCCAACACAUCUGGAUGGGCCUUCCCACAGUGAGUGUUUGACCAUUGGCAGAUCCUGCAUGGUGACGCCAUGGAUGCAAACUUGAAGCCGGCAAAUAUUGUAGCAGACACGCGUAAACGCAAGGAGCUCAAAGAAGGAAUGUUAUUGUUUUCUGACUGAUGUAUAUCAUGGAAUAACCAUCUUAACAGUGGCUUUUCUCAAUUCCUUGUGUGUCUUAAGUGUCGAAUUGCAAAAUUAAUAUUUUUUUCAUAUAUAUUACAAUUUAUGUUCUGUGUACACGCCAUGUUUACUGAUGCAUAACGCUCUUCUAUGCUUGCAUACUUUUAGUAUUAUGCAACCAAUUGUUAGGCAUUUAUCUACCAGUUGAAAAUGUGAAUUUCUGUCAGACUCAUGAUUGGAAGUUUUUGUCUGUAUAAGACAAUCUAAAAGCAACCUUGAGCAUCAAUUAUUUUCUGUCUUUUUUCUUUUUCUAUAUUGAUAGUCAGGUUACUGAUGUAAGAAUAUGGAGUUUUAUGGCUACUUGCAUUUUUUUUUUUUUAUUCAUGGAGUGAUUUUUCAGCUGAUUUUUUUUAAUGACGUUUCAAACAGUUUUUCAAUUUUAUUAUUUUUUACUCUUGAUCAGCAUGCUUUUGUGAGGCACAAGUUUGUGAACUGCUGUUGUCAUUCAUUGACGCCUGCCAACAGAUAAGGCGAUGUGGGACAGUAAACCUAUGGGAAUGUUGCCGUUUUAUCUUUACACAUUUUUUUUUAAAACCCAAAUAAAGGUCUACUGUACUGUUGAGAUUUCAAAGGGUUAAGGGGAAAAACUCUUAGCUAUUGAAAUUCUUGGGAGAAUUCCUAGUGGCAAGAGGAACAUUUUUGUGAAUGUGUGUAUACACAAGUCUGAUAUUCGUAUUUUAAUAUAUAAAUGUAUAUUUGUAGGUUUUUAAAGGUUCAAGUAUUACAAAAAUAAAGAGCAUCUUGUGGU